GACGAACGCUGGCGGCGUGCUUAACACAUGCAAGUCGAACGAUGAAAGCAGGAGCUUGCUUUUGCUGGAUUAGUGGCGAACGGGUGAGUAACACGUGAGUAACCUGCCCUUGACUCUGGGAUAAGCGUUGGAAACGACGUCUAAUACCGGAUACGAGCUAGGACCGCAUGGUCACUAGUUGGAAAGAAUUUCGGUCAAGGAUGGACUCGCGGCCUAUCAGCUAGUUGGUGAGGUAACGGCCCACCAAGGCGGCGACGGGUAGCCGGCCUGAGAGGGUGACCGGCCACACUGGGACUGAGACACGGCCCAGACUCCUACGGGAGGCAGCAGUGGGGAAUAUUGCACAAUGGGCGCAAGCCUGAUGCAGCAACGCCGCGUGAGGGACGACGGCCUUCGGGUUGUAAACCUCUUUUAGCAGGGAAGAAGCGAAAGUGACGGUACCUGCAGAAAAAGCACCGGCUAACUACGU
Molecule: ribosomal RNA, 469 nt
Filed under: uncultured Actinomycetes bacterium
Lineage: Bacteria; Bacillati; Actinomycetota; Actinomycetes
Description: bacterial SSU rRNA
Rfam family: Bacterial small subunit ribosomal RNA
Source: RNAcentral